CUUGGUCAUUUAGAGGAAGUAAAAGUCGUAACAAGGUUUCCGUAGGUGAACCUGCGGAAGGAUCAUUCAUAAUAAGUGUUUUAUGGCACUUUUUUAAAUCCAUAUCCACCUUGUGUGCAAUGUCAGGGUUGGUCUCUUGAAAAAGAGAUCAGCCCCAAACAUCAACCCAAUCUUAACUCUUUGUCUGAAAAAUAUUAUGAAUAAAACAAUUCAAAAUACAACUUUCAACAACGGAUCUCUUGGCUCUCGCAUCGAUGAAGAACGCAGCGAAAUGCGAUACGUAAUGUGAAUUGCAGAAUUCAGUGAAUCAUCGAAUCUUUGAACGCAUAUUGCGCUCUUUGGUAUUCCGAAGAGCAUGCUUGUUUGAGUAUCAGUAAACACCUCAAAGCCUUUUUUUGUUAAGAGGCCUUGGACUUGAGCAAUCCCAACACUUUUCCUCCAAGAAAAGUGGCGGGUUGCUUGAAAUGCAGGUGCAGCUGGACAUUCUCCUGAGCUAAAAGCAUAUUCAUUUAGUCCCGUCAAACGGAUUAUUACUUUUGCUGCAGCUAACAUAAAGGGAGUUUGACCAUUUUGGCUGACUGAUGCAGGAUUUUCACAAGAGUCUUCAAAAGCUUUUGUUAAACUCGAUCUCAAAUCAAGUAAGACUACCCGCUGAACUUAAGCAUAUCAAUAAGCGGAGGA
This 681-nucleotide ribosomal RNA is filed under the name uncultured Mortierella. RNAcentral's name for it is "eukaryotic LSU rRNA". The stretch from base 220 to 373 matches the Rfam family "5.8S ribosomal RNA". The record is from RNAcentral. Lineage: Eukaryota; Fungi; Mortierellomycota; Mortierellomycetes; Mortierellales; Mortierellaceae.